CCAUGGGGGNAACCCUGNAUGCAGCNCCGCCGCGUGAGAUGAAGAAAGUAUUUCCCNUAUGUAAAGCUCUAUCAGCAGGGNAAGAUAAUGACGGUACCUGUNCUAAGAAGCUCCGGCUAAAUACGUGCCAGCAGCCGCGGUAAUACGUAUGGAGCAAGCGUUAUCCGGAUUUACUGGGUGUAAAGGGUGCGUAGGUGGCAGUGCAAGUCAGAUGUGAAAGGCCGGGGCUCAACCCCGGAGCUGCAUUUGAAACUGCAUAGCUAGAGUACAGGAGAGGCAGGCGGAAUUCCUAGUGUAGCGGUGAAAUGCGUAGAUAUUAGGAGGAACACCAGUGGCGAAGGCGGCUCACUGGACUGUAACUGACACUGAGGCUCGAAAGCGUGGGGAGCAAACAGGAUUAGAUACCCUGGUAGUCCAAGGGCGAAUUC
RNAcentral lists this ribosomal RNA (428 nucleotides) under uncultured bacterium. RNAcentral's name for it is "SSU rRNA". It matches the Rfam family "Bacterial small subunit ribosomal RNA", at positions 369 to 808 of the family's 1533-position model. The record is from RNAcentral.